Molecule: ribosomal RNA, 496 nt
Filed under: uncultured Lachnospiraceae bacterium
Lineage: Bacteria; Bacillati; Bacillota; Clostridia; Lachnospirales; Lachnospiraceae
Description: bacterial SSU rRNA
Rfam family: Bacterial small subunit ribosomal RNA
Source: RNAcentral
CCUCGGCGUCAGGAGUGAACGCUGGCGGCGUGCUAACACAUGCAAGUCGAGCGAAGCAUUUAACGUAUAGAAGUUUUCGGUACGGGAAUGUUAUCUGACUGAGCGGCGGACGGGUGAGUAACGCGUGGGUAACCUGCCUUAUACAGGGGGAUAACAGUCAGAAAUGACUGCUAAUACCGCAUAAGCGCACAGUACCGCAUGGUAGUGUGUGAAAAACUCCGGUGGUAUAAGAUGGACCCGCGUCUGAUUAGCCAGUUGGCGGGGUAACGGCCCACCAAAGCGACGAUCAGUAGCCGACCUGAGAGGGUGACCGGCCACAUUGGGACUGAGACACGGCCCAAACUCCUACGGGAGGCAGCAGUGGGGAAUAUUGCACAAUGGGGGAAACCCUGAUGCAGCAACGCCGCGUGAGUGAAGAAGUAUUUCGGUAUGUAAAGCUCUAUCGGCAGGGAAGAAGAUGACGGUACCUGACCAAGAAGCCCCGGCUAACUACGUG